UACACACCGCCCGUCGCACCAUGGGAGUCGAUAACGCCCGAAGCCGGUGACUCAACCGAAAGGAGAGAGCCGUCGAAGGCGGGAUGGAUAACUGGGGUGAAGUCGUAACAAGGUAUC
RNAcentral lists this ribosomal RNA (117 nucleotides) under uncultured bacterium. Its description in RNAcentral is "partial 16S ribosomal RNA". It matches the Rfam family "Bacterial small subunit ribosomal RNA", at positions 1384 to 1500 of the family's 1533-position model. The record is from RNAcentral.